GAAACUGGCCUAGUGGUUAUAAUGUCCACCUCAGAUGUGGGAGACAUGGGUUCGAAUCCCAGCUGAGUCA
Potamilus streckersoni is the source of this 70-nucleotide non-coding RNA. The record is from the annotation of a GenBank genome assembly. Lineage: Eukaryota; Metazoa; Mollusca; Bivalvia; Unionida; Unionidae.